Pseudophryne corroboree (corroboree frog) is the source of this 559-nucleotide long non-coding RNA. RefSeq lists it as uncharacterized. The record is from RefSeq and is a predicted model, not a curated record. NCBI's taxonomy places the organism in Eukaryota, Metazoa, Chordata, Amphibia, Anura, Myobatrachidae. The transcript has 4 exons.
CCCCCCCCCGCAGCCGCCGGAGUUAACUGUUAACUGUGAGGCUGAGCAGCGGCCAGUAAUGCCCGUGCCCACUCCCCAUCUCCCUGCCAGCGCAGCAGCUUAAAUUCCACCCCACCCCUAAGCUUAGUGACCCGCGGUCUGUAAUGCCCUCCCCACCUCCACCGGAACGCUUUCUGCAAGGGAAUGACGGUCCGAGGCCCUAUCCUAACCAUGGCACACCCCUGGGCGUCUGGUAGGAGAGUCAACUCACCCUCCUCAUGAAGACCUCCAGGCGCUGAAGUUCCGGUGACUGACGCAGCACGGAGGAACCUGAGCAUGGAGAUAUGCAGAAAGACACAAAGGGAAGAAGAAUGAGCGGUAAUUAUGACACAGUUCUACACUUCCCUGUCUCCGACCGGCUCCGGGCAGGACCUGAGAUGACACAGGAUAAAUCCCUUUCUACAAGCAAUUUAUCAACACCCUCGUUACAGAACAAAUACUGGAUGUAAUGUUUACCCACUGGCUUCUGAAAAGUUCAUUGAUGAGAAGUUUGGACCUGGGGGGAUUUCUGUCACUGACA